RNAcentral lists this ribosomal RNA (278 nucleotides) under uncultured Oscillospiraceae bacterium. RNAcentral's name for it is "partial 16S ribosomal RNA". It matches the Rfam family "Bacterial small subunit ribosomal RNA", at positions 511 to 788 of the family's 1533-position model. Lineage: Bacteria; Bacillati; Bacillota; Clostridia; Eubacteriales; Oscillospiraceae. The record is from RNAcentral.
GCAGCCGCGGUAAUACGUAGGGAGCGAGCGUUGUCCGGAUUUACUGGGUGUAAAGGGUGCGUAGACGGCUAAGCAAGUCAGAAGUGAAAUCCAUGGGCUUAACCCAUGAACUGCUUUUGAAACUGUUUAGCUUGAGUGAUGUAGAGGUAGGCGGAAUUCCCGGUGUAGCGGUGGAAUGCGUAGAGAUCGGGAGGAACACCAGUGGCGAAGGCGGCCUACUGGGCAUUAACUGACGUUGAGGCACGAAAGUGUGGGUAGCAAACAGGAUUAGAUACCCC